AUACGUAGGGGGCAAGCGUUAUCCGGAUUUACUGGGUGUAAAGGGAGCGUAGACGGUAAAGCAAGUCUGAAGUGAAAGCUCGGGGCUCGACCCCGGAACUGCUUUGGAAACUGUUUUACUGGAGUGCAGGAGAGGUAAGCGGAAUUCCUAGUGUAGCGGUGAAAUGCGUAGAUAUUAGGAGGAACACCAGAGGCGAAGGCGGCUUACUGGACUGUAACUGACGUUGAGGCUCGAAGGCGUGGGGAGCAAACAGGAUUAGAUACCCUGGUAGUCCACGCGGUAAACGAUGAUCACUAGGUGUCGGCGGCCAUAGGCGGUCGGUGCCGCAGCAAACGCAAUAAGUGAUCCACCUGGGGAGUACGUUCGCAAGAAUGAAACUCAAAUGAAUUGACGGGG
RNAcentral lists this ribosomal RNA (396 nucleotides) under uncultured bacterium. RNAcentral's name for it is "partial 16S ribosomal RNA". It matches the Rfam family "Bacterial small subunit ribosomal RNA", at positions 523 to 918 of the family's 1533-position model. The record is from RNAcentral.